AUUAAACGCUGGCGGCAUGCCUUACACAUGCAAGUCGAACGGCAGCACGGGGCAACCUGGUGGCGAGUGGCGAACGGGUGAGUAAAGCAUCGGAACGUGCCCUGGAGUGGGGGAUAACGUAGCGAAAGUUACGCUAAUACCGCAUAUUCUGUGAGCAGGAAAGCAGGGGAUCGCAAGACCUUGCGCUCUGGGAGCGGCCGAUGUCGGAUUAGCUAGUUGGUGGGGUAAAGGCCUACCAAGGCGACGAUCCGUAGCGGGUCUGAGAGGAUGAUCCGCCACACUGGAACUGAGACACGGUCCAGACUCCUACGGGAGGCAGCAGUGGGGAAUUUUGGACAAUGGGCGCAAGCCUGAUCCAGCCAUGCCGCGUGAGUGAAGAAGGCCU
Molecule: ribosomal RNA, 385 nt
Filed under: uncultured bacterium
Lineage: Bacteria
Description: bacterial SSU rRNA
Rfam family: Bacterial small subunit ribosomal RNA
Source: RNAcentral